UUGGAAGUAAAAGUCGUAACAAGGUCUCCGUUGGUGAACCAGCGGAGGGAUCAUUACCGAGUUUACAACUCCCAAACCCAAUGUGAACGUUACCAAACUGUUGCCUCGGCGGGAUCUCUGCCCCGGGUGCGUCGCAGCCCCGGACCAAGGCGCCCGCCGGAGGACCAACCAAAACUCUUAUUGUAUACCCCCUCGCGGGUUUUUUUAUAAUCUGAGCCUUCUCGGCGCCUCUCGUAGGCGUUUCGAAAAUGAAUCAAAACUUUCAACAACGGAUCUCUUGGUUCUGGCAUCGAUGAAGAACGCAGCGAAAUGCGAUAAGUAAUGUGAAUUGCAGAAUUCAGUGAAUCAUCGAAUCUUUGAACGCACAUUGCGCCCGCCAGUAUUCUGGCGGGCAUGCCUGUCCGAGCGUCAUUUCAACCCUCGAACCCCUCCGGGGGGUCGGCGUUGGGGAUCGGCCCUGCCUUGGCGGUGGCCGUCUCCGAAAUACAGUGGCGGUCUCGCCGCAGCCUCUCCUGCGCAGUAGUUUGCACACUCGCAUCGGGAGCGCGGCGCGUCCACAGCCGUUAAACACCCAACUUCUGAAAUGUUGACCUCGGAUCAGGUAGGAAUACCCGCUGAACUUAAGCAUAUCAAUAAGCGGAGGA
RNAcentral lists this ribosomal RNA (644 nucleotides) under Trichoderma harzianum. RNAcentral describes it as "eukaryotic LSU rRNA". The stretch from base 258 to 411 matches the Rfam family "5.8S ribosomal RNA". The record is from RNAcentral. Lineage: Eukaryota; Fungi; Ascomycota; Sordariomycetes; Hypocreales; Hypocreaceae.